GUAAGGGCAGAUACGGCGACGUCCGGGUUCCGCUCACCAUUGGUGGAUUGUCCUAUCUAUCAAAACCGCACCCGUAUUCUCCGCUCCUGAUUGGACGGUAGUGUGGAAACUAGGAUGACGGCAUAACAAAUGAAGUAAACCAUCUCACAGAUACACAUCAAGAUGCAGACAGCAGAGGACACCACCAUGAAGAGAGUGAAGAUCUUCUUCUCCGUGGGGCGGGAUAUGGAACAGUCCACUGUGUUCGGGCAAGGAUCCAUUGAACACUUUAACAAACCGGGAGGCUGGCUAAGGUGUGGCCUUGCUGGUAAACAUGAAGAGCAAGAGGAGGAUAGGCGGAGCAUCGCCUAAAAAAAGUUACAUUCUCUCACCUGACGGUUUCAGUAUCCAUGUUAGUCAUGGAAAAAAAAAACAAGAAACACUGCCUCAGGGAAGUGACAGAGAGACAAUGUCAGAGAAAUGGAAGCGAAACCAUGGAGCAGAAAGAUAGUGUCAUGAACCGGCUGUGUGAAGGCAGAUGUGGACCCAAACGCAAAACUCACAGAGACAGAAGCUGAACUCAAAAUCGCUGCUUUAUUGCAGGUCUUACAAAGUAACAGAACUAAACUGGGUAAACUAAACUGAGGACCGAGGAAACACAGAAAGGGACACAGGUUCAGGGAGGAGACAUAAGGAAACAACGUAACAGAGCAAACCCAGGAAGCAUGGCCUAAAUAAGGAACAAAAUACAUGAAAACUAAGAAUACUGGGCUAACGUGGCCCAGGACCAUGACAGAUAGCAGCACAAAGUCAUAGGGCUGCCACAAACGAUUAUUUUGAUAGUCGACUAGUCACCAAUUAUUUUUGCAAUUAGUCGACUAAUCAGAUCAUGCAUCCACUGGAUGUAUAUAAAGAUUGUCUUUAUAUUUCCUAUCUUUAAGAACCUCACACUCCCUCUUGCAGCCUGGGAUCAUCUAACCAAAGGCUGUUGGUCGUCCCCCGAACACGUUUUAAAACCAGAGGUGAUAGAUCUUUUAGAGAGGUGGCCCCCAGGUUGUGGAAUUCUCUCCCUCCAUCUUUGCAUUGCCUGGAUUGUGUUUAUUUUUUUAAAGGAGUCUUUUUAAAAAAGAGUCAUUUAUUUAGACUAGCUUUUAACUAGAUUUGUGCUGUAUGUUUGAUUGUGCUGUAUUAUGUUUAUCUGUUUUAUAUUAUUGUGAAGCACUUUGUGG
Molecule: long non-coding RNA, 1208 nt
Organism: Oreochromis niloticus (Nile tilapia)
Lineage: Eukaryota; Metazoa; Chordata; Actinopteri; Cichliformes; Cichlidae
Exons: 3
Source: RefSeq, a predicted model, not a curated record